This 284-nucleotide long non-coding RNA is filed under the name Homo sapiens (human). RNAcentral describes it as "HSALNT0005793". The record is from RNAcentral. Lineage: Eukaryota; Metazoa; Chordata; Mammalia; Primates; Hominidae.
GGCAGACUGGGAUAAAGCACAGACCCAUGCUGCCAGGCACCCAGUGAAACAGUGCAUUUUCCCAAAGACAGCAUGACUCCUGAGGUGGAAGCAUUACUGCCCAGUUUCAGAGGGAAGCUGUGAGGGGUGUCUGGGCUUGAGACUCAGUUUAGUAGAAUUGCUCAUACUUUUUACUUGGGCUGUGCAGAGGAAAGACAUCUAUAAAAAAUUGCACUCAUUUGGAGAACCUGACUGUGGUCAUUUUGAAGCCAAGGCUUGCUUAGAAAGUGUGGAAAUUAAUAAAG